Molecule: RNA transcript, 2475 nt
Organism: Motacilla alba alba
Lineage: Eukaryota; Metazoa; Chordata; Aves; Passeriformes; Motacillidae
Gene: DTD2
Gene name: D-aminoacyl-tRNA deacylase 2
Exons: 3
Source: RefSeq, a predicted model, not a curated record
GCUUUAGAUAUCAUGAGGCGCAUUUUUUUAAAUAUAAAACUCACAGUCAAAUCCAAAUCCAUGCCUGAAAUUUAUCCAACAAAUUUACUAUCAUUCCUUGGCCUAAAAAGAGGCCCUUAAUCUAACAAUAAGCCAGUAAGAUUCAAGAAAUUCAAGGUGCAACAGAAUUACUUGGCUUCCCAAGGAAAAUACAACAUAAUUCUACCAAGAAUCCAUACAUAAACAAUGAUAUCAUACUCUUUUUUUCUAUGCAAUGUUUCACAGGCAUUUGUAUUGAAACUUGCACAUGAAUAAAUGUUCUCCAUCAUACCUUGGUGUAAAUAAUGGCACACCACCAAAUAACAAUCAAUAUCCUUAUAUAUUAAUAGCCCUCUAUAAUCUGCUUAUAAUUUGCUCAGACUGUAGCAAAAUCCAUUUUCCUUAACAAUCAAUUUAUACCGUAAAUAUAUAUGGAAAACCCUCUCAUUUUAAAUGGAUUUCUACCUCAUUAAACUCUUCUUAAUGAGUCUGGGGAUACAGCUUUCAAGUAAAUGAACAGAAGGUACUUUAAAUAAAAUUAGCCGAGUUUGAAUAAAAACAUAUCGUACAGCUAACAAAAAAUGAGCUACUUCAUACACUAACUACCUAGUGCAAUUUCCUGUUCUUCCAGGAAGGUUUGCUUUGGGAAGAACAACCUCGUUGAACACACAUCAAGAAUCUUCUGUUAAAAUGACAGGCAGAUAUCGAAUAUAUCCCUAUGUGUAACAUUGAUUAUUCAGAAGUGCAUAUUGGCCCUUGCUGUUCAAUACGGAUCUUUGGUAAUCUUACUCUAUGAUAGAUUCCAGGUACUAAAAUUCAGCUUCUUACUCACACUGCUAUGUAUGAACCUUUUUAUUUAAAAAAAUACAAUAUUUUUAAACACAGUUGUAAAAAUGAAAUCUGCAGUCAUAAAAUUAAUUUGGAAAGAGAUACUGAAUUCCACAUCAUUCUAUCCUGACUUGAAGGCAGUAUUGUUCAAAACUUGUCUCUGUCAGAAUUCACGUAUGGGAGAAAGACACAACUCUUCCAGUUUUGGAGCUGUUCAAGGAGUAUCAGGGUACAUAGCCAAAAACCUGGAAGAUAAUAAAAGAACCACUUGCAAUAUUUUAACCUUUCCCAUUAGCAGUGGGAGCUCAUUUCAAAACUAUGAACUUCUUUUUCCCAGAUGAUUAGGAUCACUAGAUAUCCAGGUCCCUUUAAACUGCUUUCUGUUCCCUCUGCUCCAAUGCAGUAUCAUUGAAGAGAAAUACUCCAGUUUGAUAGACUGAUCUCAGCCACCUGAAACACAAACAAGUAACGAACAGAAGAAAUAACAAACAAUAUUCAGAUUUUCUUUUCCAUUUAUAAACUAUACAGCAUGCUGCUCUUAUCACAAGCAUGUAACAUUUCCCCAGCAGAAGACAAGGCGAUGUCUCAUUUCUCCUCAAAAUACGAAACCGAAGCCCGCUUCCUACUAGCUAUUGGGGCAUCGCUAAGUAGAGCUGUAGAAAUGCUUCAGUUCUGUUCCAAAGCUUGUAUUCAGCCUCCUCCAUAGAGAGGGCGGAUCAUAAGCCCCCGUUUAAUCAUCCGCACAAGGUCCCGCUCACGCUCCCCGCCGCCGGUGACCCGCGGCCUCCAGCCGGUGCCGGUGCCGGUGCCGGAAAGGCGUGACGCGGCCCCGCCCUCGGCGCUGCAGGCUCGCCAUGGCGGCGGCGCGGCCGGCGCGGGCCCGGGCCCUGCUGCAGCAGAGCAUCUCCGCCCGCCUGCAGGUGCGGCCGCCCGAGAGCGGCUCCGAGGCGCAGUGGGUGGAGGUAACGUGGGCCGCGGGCCGCCCUUGGCAUCGCCCCUUCUCCCCGCGGGACGGAGCGGGGCCGACCGGGGCGGCCAGCGGGAAAGCGCUCCGUGCCCUGCGCGCGUGCGCCGGCGGGAGAGGGUGGCGUUCGGACAUUCGAGGGGAGCAGCCUCUGCUCCUUUUGCGGGCCGGGCUGCCCUUAGGGCCGAUUCCAGCCUCGUCUCGAUUCUGCUGCAGAGCACUCUCCUCGCCUCCUGGUUAUCAGCAAAGGUUGCGGUCAGCCCCUUCGCCCAAGGGACGAGCAGCAGGAGGCGCACAGCGCUUUCUCUCUGCUGCUCCCUCUCUCUCCCUGUGCUCCGGAGUCCUCCGCAGGCAGAAGUCUCUUCAGGAUCAUGACUACUCCACGACCACACGCUUCCCUUCCAACUGUGUUGUUCGUUCUUUUCUUAAACACACUCACAGAAACACUACAGCCUUGGCUGGUGGGCUCUGCCGUCGGCUUUGUUUGUCGUGAGAUAGUGUUAACUUGGAGAAGAAAGGCCAGAUCCAGAGAGGGCUCGUUAUCUACAUAUGCUUCUUCAAAGGUGCUGAUGAGGAUCUUGUCCCAAAAAUUGUUGAUACACUGUUGAAUGUUAAAUUAAGUGAAAAUGAAAAGGGCGAGUUUGUCUCUGUUCUUGAUUUACCAG